UACAGGGGGUGCAAACGUUGCUCGGAAUCAUUGGGCGUAAAGCGCACGUAGGCGGUUUGUUAUGUCGGAUGUGAAAGCCCUUGGCUCAACUGAGGAAGUGCAUCCGAAACUGGCAAGCUAGAGUACUAAAGAGGGUCGCGGAAUUCCCGGUGUAGAGGUGAAAUUCGUAGAUAUCGGGAGGAACACCGGUGGCGAAGGCGGCGACCUGGGUAGAUACUGACGCUGAGGUGCGAAAGCGUGGGGAGCGAACCGG
Molecule: ribosomal RNA, 253 nt
Filed under: uncultured bacterium
Lineage: Bacteria
Description: partial 16S ribosomal RNA
Rfam family: Bacterial small subunit ribosomal RNA
Source: RNAcentral